GUAUAACUUAGUGGCAGACGGGUGAGUAAUGUAUAGGAAUCUACCUAGUAGUACGGAAUAAUUGUUGGAAACGGCAACUAAUACCGUAUACGCCCUACGGGGGAAAAAUUUAUUGCUAUUAGAUGAGCCUAUAUUAGAUUAGCUAGUUGGUGGAGUAAUAGCCUACCAAGGCAAUGAUCUAUAGCUGAUCUGAGAGGAUGAUCAGCCACACUGGAACUGAGAUACGGUCCAGACUCCUACGGGAGGCAGCAGUGGGGAAUAUUGGACAAUGGGCGAAAGCCUGAUCCAGCCAUGCCGCAUGAGUGAAGAAGGCCUUUGGGUUGUAAAGCUCUUUUAGCGAGGAAGAUAAUGACGGUACUCACAGAAGAAGUCCUGGCUAACUCCGUGCCAGCAGCCGCGGUAAUACGGAGAGGGCUAGCGUUAUUCGGAAUUAUUGGGCGUAAAGGGCGCGUAGGCUGAUUAAUAAGUUAAAAGUGAAAUCCCGAGGCUUAACCUUGGAAUUGCUUUUAAAACUAUUAAUCUAGAGAUUGAAAGAGGAUAGAGGAAUUCCUGAUGUAGAGGUAAAAUUCGUAAAUAUUAGGAGGAACACCAGUGGCGAAGGCGUCUAUCUGGUUCAAAUCUGACGCUGAAGCGCGAAGGCGUGGGGAGCAAACAGGAUUAGAUACCCUGGUAGUCCACGCUGUAAACGAUGAAUGUUAAAUAUGGGAAGUUUACUUUCUGUAUUACAGCUAACGCGUUAAACAUUCCGCCUGGGGACUACGGUCGCAAGAUUAAAACUCAAAGGAAUUGACGGGGACCCGCACAAGCGGUGGAGCAUGUGGUUUAAUUCGAUGCAACGCGAAAA
This 844-nucleotide ribosomal RNA is filed under the name Wolbachia sp. Sca. Its description in RNAcentral is "bacterial SSU rRNA". It matches the Rfam family "Bacterial small subunit ribosomal RNA", at positions 85 to 967 of the family's 1533-position model. The record is from RNAcentral. Lineage: Bacteria; Pseudomonadati; Pseudomonadota; Alphaproteobacteria; Rickettsiales; Anaplasmataceae.